RNAcentral lists this microRNA precursor (136 nucleotides) under Hordeum vulgare. Its description in RNAcentral is "microRNA MIR1122". It matches the Rfam family "MIR1120/MIR1122 microRNA precursor family". The record is from RNAcentral. Lineage: Eukaryota; Viridiplantae; Streptophyta; Magnoliopsida; Poales; Poaceae.
UAAAUACUCCCUCCGUCCCAAAAUUCUUGUCUUAGAUUUGUCUAUAUAUGAAUGUAUCUAGUCACAUUUUAGUAUGUAAAUACAUACAUUUCUAGACAAACUUAAGACAAGAAUUUUGGGACGGAGGGAGUACUAC